GUGGUAUGUUAAGCACAUAUACUAAAAUUGGAAUGAUAUGGAGAAGAUUAGCAUGGUCCCUGCACAGGGAUGACAUACAAAUUCAUGAAGCUCUAUAUUAAAAA
Molecule: small nuclear RNA, 104 nt
Filed under: Ictidomys tridecemlineatus (thirteen-lined ground squirrel)
Lineage: Eukaryota; Metazoa; Chordata; Mammalia; Rodentia; Sciuridae
Source: RNAcentral